Molecule: long non-coding RNA, 1217 nt
Organism: Polyodon spathula (Mississippi paddlefish)
Lineage: Eukaryota; Metazoa; Chordata; Actinopteri; Acipenseriformes; Polyodontidae
Exons: 3
Source: RefSeq, a predicted model, not a curated record
AGGUAACAAGCUCAGGCGGGUCUUACGGAACUCCUAGCAAAACCAGGAAUGGAUCACACUGCUAUGCAAUAGGCAUUUCUUCAGUAUAAGAGCCGAGCUUGCCUCUAGACCUACAGAGCUUGGUAGUCGGUCGAAUGGUGAAGUCAUUCGUCUUUGAACCGGAUAGUUUGGUUUUGAGUCGCGCCCCCGCCUUUCCAUUCACUCCAGUGAGCUGGGACUGCAGUUCCUUUACAAUGUAUGAUCUGUGUAAGGACGAUUGUUGCAGCCAAGCGUUUGUCAGCUGCAUCACAUCAGGCUGGCCCCCAUGGUGUCAGGUCUAAGCUUACCAAACACAAUUGUGAGCGAUCAGACUCCAGGCAAAUACGUUUUGCAAAUUAACUUUUUUUAUCAGGUGUUUCCGUACACGUUUCUUCAGAUAAGUGACUCCCUUUGAUCAGUCAACAGCACUAGCGCAUAAAGAGGCUUUGUCUCGGCACAGGGUCAUUUAGUUCCUGUGAUUUUUAGUAUGAAUCAUCCAUUAUCACUACUGGUAUAGUUUCCACUUAUGUCGUCUUUUCUUGCAAACUAAAUUCUCCAUUCUGCGUGCGUGGCUAAUACCCUAAAUAAUGCAGGACCCCUACGAGGUGAAAUGGCGACUGACGCUCGCUUCACAGACGCGCUGUGUGCGAGACCACCCUAUAGAAGCACAUGAAUAAAUUAAUAAGCACAUAAAUAUUACUUCUAGUGACUAAUGCAUACAUGGCUAUUAUUGGAUGUUUAUUUUCAGCAGUGGAAAGCUAACCCAGUCGCAACCCACCUUCUCCUUUCCCAUUUGCAGCCUUUACUAACAUCGGUCCUGCCUGGCCAUAGCAGACGCUUUCCAAUGUGAGCCGGUCAGUUGUCGCUGAGUGGGGUUAGCACAGGGCUCAAAGUUUCGCUGUGCGUUGACACACCUUAUAGGCUUUUGAUGCCAUGGAGUCACGUGUCGACCCGAAUGGUGCAGCGCUGCAAGAGCUCGUCUCUCCUGGACAAAACAACCCCCCCGCCCCGCCAAUUUUAAUGAAUACCAACAAUACACAUGAUUAGUUAUAACCUCUAUGUAAACGGUGCUUUAAAAAAAACACAUCAUGCAAAUGUGUAACUUCAAUCAAUCAAUCAAUCUCCCUCUCUCGUUAGUUGGCUCACCCCUUGCAGAACUGACCCUGUGAUCUUGUAUUCUGAUGCCUGUUUGCUGCAAC